This 253-nucleotide ribosomal RNA is filed under the name uncultured bacterium. Its description in RNAcentral is "partial 16S ribosomal RNA". It matches the Rfam family "Bacterial small subunit ribosomal RNA", at positions 524 to 776 of the family's 1533-position model. The record is from RNAcentral.
UACGGAGGGUGCAAGCGUUAUCCGGAUUCACUGGGUUUAAAGGGUGCGUAGGCGGGUACUUAAGUCAGUGGUGAAAUCUCCAGGCUCAACCUGGAAACUGCCAUUGAUACUAUUUAUCUUGAAUAUCGUUGAGGUAGGCGGAAUAUGUCAUGUAGCGGUGAAAUGCUUAGAGAUGACAUAGAACACCAAUUGCGAAGGCAGCUUACUAAACGAAGAUUGACGCUGAGGCACGAAAGCGUGGGGAUCAAACAGG